AGUGAACGCUGGCGGUAGGCCUAACACAUGCAAGUCGAACGGCAGCACAGUAAGAGCUUGCUCUUACGGGUGGCGAGUGGCGGACGGGUGAGGAAUACAUCGGAAUCUACUUUUUCGUGGGGGAUAACGUAGGGAAACUUACGCUAAUACCGCAUACGACCUACGGGUGAAAGCAGGGGAUCUUCGGACCUUGCGCGAUUGAAUGAGCCGAUGUCGGAUUAGCUAGUUGGCGGGGUAAAGGCCCACCAAGGCGACGAUCCGUAGCUGGUCUGAGAGGAUGAUCCGCCACACUGGAACUGAAACAAGGUUCAGACUCCUACGGGAAGGAGCAGUUGGGAAUAUUGGACAAUGGGGGCAAGCCCUAUCCAGCCAUACCGCGUGGGUGAAGAAGGCCUUCGGGUUGUAAAGCCCUUUUGUUGGGAAAGAAAAGCAGCAGGUUAAUACCCCGCUGUUCUGACGGUACCCAAAGAAUAAGCACCGGCUAACUUCGUG
Molecule: ribosomal RNA, 492 nt
Filed under: uncultured bacterium
Lineage: Bacteria
Description: partial 16S ribosomal RNA
Rfam family: Bacterial small subunit ribosomal RNA
Source: RNAcentral